GACGAACGCUGGCGGCGUGCUUAACACAUGCAAGUCGAACGGAAAGGUCAUGCUUUUGCGGGGUGCACGAGUGGGGAACGCGUGAGAAACACGCGUGGAACCCGUCCUUGUCUGUGGGAUAUCUUCACGAAAAAGGGGCGAAUAUCGCGUAGGAGAUUUUGCAGCACGGGGGGGGAUGGAAAGUUUCGGCGGUUGGAGAUGGACUCGCGGCUUAUCCGCUGGUUGGUGGGGUAGUGGCUGACCAAGGCUUUGACGGGUAGCCGGCCUGAGAGGGUGACCGGCGACAAUGGGACUGAGAUACGGCCCAGACUCCUACGGGAGGCAGAAGUGGGGAAUAUUGCACAAUGGGCGGGAGCCUGAUGCAGCAACGCCGCGUGCGGGAUGACGUCCUUCGAGUUGUAAACCGCCUUCGCCUGUGACGAAGCGUGAGUGACGGUAAUGGGUAAAGAAGCACCGGCUAACUACGUG
Molecule: ribosomal RNA, 468 nt
Filed under: uncultured bacterium
Lineage: Bacteria
Description: partial 16S ribosomal RNA
Rfam family: Bacterial small subunit ribosomal RNA
Source: RNAcentral